AUCCAGCUGACGAGUCCCAAACAGGACGAAACACACAUUUGGGAU
Molecule: non-coding RNA, 45 nt
Organism: Schistosoma rodhaini
Lineage: Eukaryota; Metazoa; Platyhelminthes; Trematoda; Strigeidida; Schistosomatidae
Source: Rfam